GGGCCCGCACAAGCGGUGGAGUAUGUGGUUUAAUUCGAUGCAACGCGAGAAGACCUUACCAGGGGUUUGACAUCCUGCGAAUCUCUUGGAAACGAGAGAGUGCCUUCGGAGCGCAGUGACAGGUGGUGCAUGGCUGUCGUCAGCUCGUGUCGUGAGAUGUUGGUUAAGUCCCGCAACGAGCGCAACCCACGUCUUUAGUUGCCAGCAUUUAGUUGGGCACUCUAGAGAGACCGCCGGUGAUAAACCGGAGGAAGGUGUGGAUGACGUCAAGUCAUCAUGCCCCUUACAUCCUGGGCUACACACGUACUACAAUGCUACGGACAAAGAGCAGCAAGUUCGCGAGGACAAGCA
This 351-nucleotide ribosomal RNA is filed under the name uncultured bacterium. RNAcentral describes it as "bacterial SSU rRNA". It matches the Rfam family "Bacterial small subunit ribosomal RNA", at positions 917 to 1269 of the family's 1533-position model. The record is from RNAcentral.